RNAcentral lists this ribosomal RNA (868 nucleotides) under uncultured bacterium. Its description in RNAcentral is "bacterial SSU rRNA". It matches the Rfam family "Bacterial small subunit ribosomal RNA", at positions 625 to 1504 of the family's 1533-position model. The record is from RNAcentral.
CAUCAAAACUUUUCAGCUAGAGUUUGAUAGAGGAAAGUAGAAUUUCUAGUGUAGAGGUGAAAUUCGUAGAUAUUAGAAAGAAUACCAAUUGCGAAGGCAGCUUUCUGGAUCAUUACUGACACUGAGGAACGAAAGCAUGGGUAGCGAAGAGGAUUAGAUACCCUCGUAGUCCAUGCCGUAAACGAUGUGUGUUAGACGUUGGAAAUUUAUUUUCAGUGUCGCAGCGAAAGCGAUAAACACACCGCCUGGGGAGUACGACCGCAAGGUUAAAACUCAAAUGAAUUGACGGGGACCCGCACAAGUAGUGGAGCAUGUGGUUUAAUUCGAAGAUACGCGCAGAACCUUACCAACACUUGACAUGUUCGUCGCGACUUUAAGAGAUUAAAGUUUUCGGUUCGGCCGGACGAAACACAGGUGCUGCAUGGCUGUCGUCAGCUCGUGUCGUGAGAUGUUGGGUUAAGUCCCGCAACGAGCGCAACCCUCACUUUUAGUUGCCAUCAUUAAGUUGGGCACUCUGAAAGAACUGCCAGUGAUAAGCUGGAGGAAGGUGGGGAUGACGUCAAGUCCUCAUGGCCCUUACGUGUUGGGCUACACACGUGCUACAAUGGUAUCUACAACAGGAAGCAAGACGGCGACGUUUAGCAAAUCCUUAAAAGAUACCUCAGUUCGGAUUGCACUCUGCAACUCGAGUGCAUGAAGCUGGAAUUACUAGUAAUCGUGGAUCAGCGUGCCACGGUGAAUGCGUUCCCGGGUCUUGUACACACCGCCCGUCACACCAUGGGAGUUGGUUCUACCUUAAGGCAAGGUUUCAAACCCUUGACCACGGUAUAGUCAGCGACUGGGGUGAAGUCGUAACAAGGUAACCGUA